GAUUGAACGCUGGCGGCAUGAUUUACACAUGCAAGUCGAACGGUAACAGGCCGCGAGGUGCUGACGAGUGGCGAACGGGUGAGUAAUGCAUCGGAACGUGCCCAGUCGUGGGGGAUAACUACUCGAAAGAGUAGCUAAUACCGCAUACGAUCUAUGGAUGAAAGCGGGGGACCGUAAGGCCUCGCGCGAUUGGAGCGGCCGAUGUCAGAUUAGGUAGUUGGUGGGGUAAAGGCUCACCAAGCCAACGAUCUGUAGCUGGUCUGAGAGGACGACCAGCCACACUGGGACUGAGACACGGCCCAGACUCCUACGGGAGGCAGCAGUGGGGAAUUUUGGACAAUGGGCGCAAGCCUGAUCCAGCAAUGCCGCGUGCAGGAAGAAGGCCUUCGGGUUGUAAACUGCUUUUGUACGGAACGAAACGGCUCUGGUUAAUACCCGGGGCUAAUGACGGUACCGUAAGAAUAAGCACCGGCUAACUACGUG
Molecule: ribosomal RNA, 483 nt
Filed under: uncultured bacterium
Lineage: Bacteria
Description: partial 16S ribosomal RNA
Rfam family: Bacterial small subunit ribosomal RNA
Source: RNAcentral